This 1436-nucleotide ribosomal RNA is filed under the name uncultured organism. Its description in RNAcentral is "SSU rRNA". It matches the Rfam family "Bacterial small subunit ribosomal RNA". The record is from RNAcentral.
ACAGGCUUAACACAUGCAAGUCGAGGGGCAGCAUGGUCUUAGCUUGCUAAGGCCGAUGGCGACCGGCGCACGGGUGAGUAACACGUAUCCAACCUGCCGUCUACUCUUGGACAGCCUUCUGAAAGGACGAUUAAUACAAGAUGGCAUCAUGAGUCCGCAUGUUCACAUGAUUAAAGGUAUUCCGGUAGACGAUGGGGAUGCGUUCCAUUAGAUAGUAGGCGGGGUAACGGCCCACCUAGUCUUCGAUGGAUAGGGGUUCUGAGAGGAAGGUCCCCCACAUUGGAACUGAGACACGGUCCAAACUCCUACGGGAGGCAGCAGUGAGGAAUAUUGGUCAAUGGGCGAGAGCCUGAACCAGCCAAGUAGCGUGAAGGAUGACUGCCCUAUGGGUUGUAAACUUCUUUUAUAAAGGAAUAAAGUCGGGUAUGGAUACCCGUUUGCAUGUACUUUAUGAAUAAGGAUCGGCUAACUCCGUGCCAGCAGCCGCGGUAAUACGGAGGAUCCGAGCGUUAUCCGGAUUUAUUGGGUUUAAAGGGAGCGUAGAUGGAUGUUUAAGUCAGUUGUGAAAGUUUGCGGCUCAACCGUAAAAUUGCAGUUGAUACUGGAUAUCUUGAGUGCAGUUGAGGCAGGCGGAAUUCGUGGUGUGGCGGUGAAAUGCUUAGAUAUCACGAAGAACUCCGAUUGCGAAGGCAGCCUGCUAAGCUGCAACUGACAUUGAGGCUCGAAAGUGUGGGUAUCAAACAGGAUUAGAUACCCUGGUAGUCCACACGGUAAACGAUGAAUACUCGCUGUUUGCGAUAUACUGCAAGCGGCCAAGCGAAAGCGUUAAGUAUUCCACCUGGGGAGUACGCCGGCAACGGUGAAACUCAAAGGAAUUGACGGGGGCCCGCACAAGCGGAGGAACAUGUGGUUUAAUUCGAUGAUACGCGAGGAACCUUACCCGGGCUUAAAUUGCAGAUGAAUUACGGUGAAAGCCGUAAGCCGCAAGGCAUCUGUGAAGGUGCUGCAUGGUUGUCGUCAGCUCGUGCCGUGAGGUGUCGGCUUAAGUGCCAUAACGAGCGCAACCCUUGUUGUCAGUUACUAACAGGUUCCGCUGAGGACUCUGACAAGACUGCCAUCGUAAGAUGUGAGGAAGGUGGGGAUGACGUCAAAUCAGCACGGCCCUUACGUCCGGGGCUACACACGUGUUACAAUGGGGGGUACAGAGGGCCGCUACCACGCGAGUGGAUGCCAAUCCCCAAAACCUCUCUCAGUUCGGACUGGAGUCUGCAACCCGACUCCACGAAGCUGGAUUCGCUAGUAAUCGCGCAUCAGCCACGGCGCGGUGAAUACGUUCCCGGGCCUUGUACACACCGCCCGUCAAGCCAUGGGAGCCGGGGGUACCUGAAGUGCGUAACCGCGAGGAGCGCCCUAGGGUAAAACUGGUGACUGGGGCU